GACGAACGCUGGCGGCGUGCCUAAUACAUGCAAGUUGAGCGCUGAAGGUUGGUACUUGUACCAACUGGAUGAGCAGCGAACGGGUGAGUAACGCGUGGGGAAUCUGCCUUUGAGCGGGGGACAACAUUUGGAAACGAAUGCUAAUACCGCAUAAAAACUUUAAACACAUGUUUUAAGUUUGAAAGAUGCAAUUGCAUCACUCAAAGAUGAUCCCGCGUUGUAUUAGCUAGUUGGUGAGGUAAAGGCUCACCAAGGCGAUGAUACAUAGCCGACCUGAGAGGGUGAUCGGCCACAUUGGGACUGAGACACGGCCCAAACUCCUACGGGAGGCAGCAGGAGGGAAUCUUCGGCAAUGGACGAAAGUCUGACCGAGCAACGCCGCGUGAGUGAAGAAGGUUGUCGGAUCGUAAAACUCUGUUGGUAGAGAAGAACGUUGGUGAGAGUGGAAAGCUCAUCAAGUGACGGUAACUACCCAGAAAGGGACGGCUAACUACGUG
Molecule: ribosomal RNA, 497 nt
Filed under: uncultured bacterium
Lineage: Bacteria
Description: partial 16S ribosomal RNA
Rfam family: Bacterial small subunit ribosomal RNA
Source: RNAcentral